UGCCAGCUACCAUUCAGUCUGAGAUAUUAAGAAUAAAUAAAUGUGCAUAAUGUGGAAAUGAACAGAUUUUAUUUUUAUUUAUUCCUACAGCUGCUGCAGGUAAAGUUCCAGAAUGUGGAGGAAUUUAGUCUCACAAUCACAGACAAUAAAUAUUAUCUGAAAGUCGGGUUAUUGUUGUUUAUCAGCACAAUACAAAAAGAUUAAUGUUAGACAUAUUCCAGUUAAGACUCUAGAAUAUCAUGAUUUAUGUAAAUUUACCUCAAUAAUAUGAAUGUUCAGGUUAAGAUUGUACAGUGAUAUUUAUUAUGUAAGUUUAGCUGAUUAAAGUUUAUGACUCUGCACUACAAUAUUAUUAUUUAAAUUGACAUCAUUAUUAUAAUAUUUAGGGUCAGACCCUACAGUAUUGAGAUUAAGAAAUCAAAUAUUCUAUAAAAUGUAAAUACACUGAACUCAUUUGGAUAUAUUUAAGUGAGACUCUACAAUAUUAUUUGACACAAAUCUAUCUAAAUCAAAAUUUUAAUCAUUUUUACUCCAAACAUUUACUGGACUGAUUUAAACAUUAAAAUCACUCCUUUCUAAUCCUCUGCUGUACGUUCAAACCUGAGGCCUUAAAUAGAAACACACAAGUAUCUGAUUGAAGGAACUUCUGCAGAGUCCUGGUUCCAGAACAUGAUGAUAGAAUUAUAGACAAACUUUAACAAAAGCUGCCUGAGAGUUUACAGGUUUUUAUGUUGGAUUUCUUCAGUAAUUUAAUGAGAGUUAUCAGCAAAAAUCAAGUGUUCAUUUGAUGAACUUCAUUUCCUAAAACAUCCAGAAUUGGAGCUCAUAUCUUUGGCAGCUGUAAAGUUUCUGCUCCUUCAAAGUUCACAACACAAUGAAUGAAUUCCUAAAACACUCUCAAUGCUGGAGAGCGUUUGUGAUGCUGAAGCAGUGAUCAGUUUUUCUGUUUCUUCUCUGGAGAUGCACAAUGAGGGACGUCUGCAGAGACUGAGAAAGAGUCUCACCACAUCCUGACAUGAGGAAAAAGACUUUAUUGAAGACUACAAUGAGAAAAACUAUCAGACAGCAGACGGCUGCAUUCAAGGCUACAGGAGGAGUCCUACGAGGACGAGCCGGUCCACCUGAUGGCGGCCAGUCGCUGCGGUUCAAAGCCAACACCGACUACGUGGACUUCUACUGGACCACACGGAGGCCUUCAAACCGGACCAACAAGUUCACCGACUCCCCGACUUGUGGGUCUGAGGACGCCGCCGAGCCUCGGUCCAGCCGGCCUCCUGUCUGUGGGUGUUUGAGUGCUGAGAGGUUUGUGGAUGCAUGUAAACGUGUCUGUGUUGAAACAGCAGCUUUUGACUCAGUAACGC
Molecule: long non-coding RNA, 1361 nt
Organism: Amphiprion ocellaris (clown anemonefish)
Lineage: Eukaryota; Metazoa; Chordata; Actinopteri; Pomacentridae
Source: Ensembl